Molecule: long non-coding RNA, 1173 nt
Organism: Spinacia oleracea (spinach)
Lineage: Eukaryota; Viridiplantae; Streptophyta; Magnoliopsida; Caryophyllales; Amaranthaceae
Exons: 2
Source: RefSeq, a predicted model, not a curated record
AUUCACAUGCAAAGCAUAAAGAACUAAGAAGUUUACAAUCCUCUAUCCCCUCCACAACCAAACUUAUUGCGUCCCCUCUCUAUAUUCAAAUCCACCCUCAAUGAUAGUUUCUCAUGACACCACGAAGGUGCCGGAAAAGAAUAGAAUUUUAAGAGAGAAAAGAACGCUACACGACAAUCUUGGCAUGACAAACUCGCUCCAUAGGCUUUACUUAUUCCUCCCUCCACCGAAAAUGACUCAACUCUCUAAGGUAAAAAUGACUUCUAAGGUCUAAUGUUAGGCUAGGGUGAAGGGUGUGGAAAAAUUUGGGAUUUGGAGCUAAAAUCUAAAGUGAAGCAUCAAAAUGAACUUAACUCAAGAAGAUUGGACUAAAACAAACUAUACCACUUUUUUGGGGUUCCCCAAAGCUUAUUCAACAAACAAAACCAAACUAAACAUCUGUUUGAACUUUUGUUUGCUUCCCUUUUCUCCUUUUUUUUUUUUUUCUGUGUUUCAAGUGAAACUUUUCUAAUUGCCUUGUUUUCCUCUAAUUUUGGCUUUUUCUCUAAUUUUUCCUUUUCUUUUUAUUCAACAUAUACAAGAAACUUUCCAAAAUUUCCAUUUUAAUCAACAUUCCACCAUUCUUCUCAGAUUUAAUCAAAUACCAUUGAUAAAGAUAUUUUUUUAUUUUUGCAAAUCCAUAGAAGGGUUAUGGCCUUAUCCUAUCACUUUGGUAAAUUGUACUGCAUAUAUGGUGCUUUCUUAUUAGUGUAAGUUCGAUCUUUUUUUAUUUUUUUAUGGUCUAGAGAUAUCUCUUUAUAUAAUAUGAAUUGCAACAAGCUAUCAUAAUCUCAAAGUUAUGUGAAUUAAUUCCUUCUAAUCAAUGGCUAGCAGUUGCAGUAAGCUUUGGAGGGUUGAAGAUUACAGUGUAAUAUUAGUAAAAGCACUUAUGAGAGGAGAAAUUCAAUUACGAAUAGAGGAAUUCAAGAUUUGAGAAAUUAAGCAAAGUACAAUGAAUAAAGAGUGCUAGAAUAGACCAUUUAGUGUUAUUUGAGACAAAAGUAACAUUUAUUUGACCCUUCAAUUCCAAGUAUUAAUUACUUAAGUUUUUACCGGAAGUGUCUUCCAAAAGAUACUCCUAUAUACACAGUUCACGAUAACAGCAGAAUAUAUAACUAUAUUAUAUUUUUAAUA